GUCGGACGGUUUGCGCUGGAAGUUUCGCUGAAAGGCGCAGAUAGUGGCGGACGGGUGAGUAACGCGUGAGGACAUGUUGCAGGAGGGGGAUAACGUUGGAAAACGGACGCUAAGACCCCGUAUGCCGGAGGGUGAAAGUGGCGGAAGCCAGCCUGUGGAGUGACUCGCGUCCUAUCAGCUAGUUGGCGGGGUGAAGGCCCACCAAGGCGAUGACGGGUAGCCGACCUGAGAGGGUGGCCGGCCACACUGGAACUGAGAUACGGUCCAGACUCCUACGGGAGGCAGCAGUGGGGAAUAUUGGGCAAUGGGCGGAAGCCUGACCCAGCGACGCCGCGUGGGGGAAGAAGUCUUUCGGGAUGUAAACCCUUGUUGUACGGGACGAAGGAAGUGACGGUACCGUACGAGGAAGCCCCGGCAAACUACGUGCCAGCAGCCGCGGUAAUACGUAGGGGGCGAGCGUUGUCCGGAAUCACUGGGCGUAAAGCGCACGUAGGCGGGCUGUCAAGUCGGCCGUGAAAGGCACGGGCUCAACCUGUGCAUGUCGGUCGAUACUGGCGGUCUGGAGUAUGGGAGAGGGGACUGGAAUUCCCGGUGUAGCGGUGAAAUGCGUAGAUACCGGGAGGAACACCAGUGGCGAAGGCGGGUUCCUGGCCCAUGACUGACGCUGAGGUGCGAAAGCCGGGGGAGCGAACGGGAUUAGAUACCCCGGUAGUCCCGGCUGUAAACGAUGGAUGCUAGGUGUGGGGGGGUUACCCUCUGUGCCGCAGCUAACGCGAUAAGCAUCCCGCCUGGGGAGUACGAUCGCAAGAUUGAAACUCAAAGGAAUUGACGG
RNAcentral lists this ribosomal RNA (832 nucleotides) under uncultured bacterium. RNAcentral's name for it is "bacterial SSU rRNA". It matches the Rfam family "Bacterial small subunit ribosomal RNA", at positions 61 to 916 of the family's 1533-position model. The record is from RNAcentral.